RNAcentral lists this ribosomal RNA (809 nucleotides) under uncultured bacterium. Its description in RNAcentral is "bacterial SSU rRNA". It matches the Rfam family "Bacterial small subunit ribosomal RNA", at positions 8 to 811 of the family's 1533-position model. The record is from RNAcentral.
AGAGUUUGAUCCUGGCUCAAGAUGAACGCUAGCUACAGGCUUAACACAUGCAAGUCGAGGGGCAGCAUGACCUAGCAAUAGGUUGAUGGCGACCGGCGCACGGGUGAGUAACACGUAUCCAACCUACCGGUUAUUCCGGGAUAGCCUUUCGAAAGAAAGAUUAAUACCGGAUAGUAUAACGAGAAGGCAUCUUCUUGUUAUUAAAGAAUUUCGAUAACCGAUGGGGAUGCGUUCCAUUAGUUUGUUGGCGGGGUAACGGCCCACCAAGACAUCGAUGGAUAGGGGUUCUGAGAGGAAGGUCCCCCACAUUGGAACUGAGACACGGUCCAAACUCCUACGGGAGGCAGCAGUGAGGAAUAUUGGUCAAUGGACGAGAGUCUGAACCAGCCAAGUAGCGUGAAGGAUGACUGCCCUAUGGGUUGUAAACUUCUUUUAUAUGGGAAUAAAGUGAGCCACGUGUGGCUUUUUGUAUGUACCAUACGAAUAAGGAUCGGCUAACUCCGUGCCAGCAGCCGCGGUAAUACGGAGGAUCCGAGCGUUAUCCGGAUUUAUUGGGUUUAAAGGGAGCGUAGGCGGACUAUUAAGUCAGCUGUGAAAGUUUGCGGCUCAACCGUAAAAUUGCAGUUGAUACUGGUCGUCUUGAGUGCAGUAGAGGUAGGCGGAAUUCGUGGUGUAGCGGUGAAAUGCUUAGAUAUCACGAAGAACUCCGAUUGCGAAGGCAGCUUACUGGACUGUAACUGACGCUGAUGCUCGAAAGUGUGGGUAUCAAACAGGAUUAGAUACCCUGGUAGUCCACACAGUAAACGAUG